RNAcentral lists this ribosomal RNA (276 nucleotides) under Triticum aestivum (bread wheat). RNAcentral's name for it is "partial small subunit ribosomal RNA". The record is from RNAcentral. Lineage: Eukaryota; Viridiplantae; Streptophyta; Magnoliopsida; Poales; Poaceae.
AUGGCGGGAGCGGCGAAGGCGUCAUGGAUGGUGGCGAUGAGCGUCGGCGCCGUGGAGGCGCUCAAGGACCAGGCUGGGCUCUGCCGAUGGAACUACGCCCUCAGGUCCAUCAUCCACCGGGCCGCCAAGGCCAGGGCCAACGUCCGCGGCGGCGUCUCGCAGGGCGCCAAGCAGCUUCCAGCCUCCGCGGCGGCGGCGGCGGAGAGGCGGCGAGCGGAGAAGGCCGAGGAGGGGGUGAGGACGGUGAUGUACCUCAGCUGCUGGGGUCCCAAUUAG